RNAcentral lists this ribosomal RNA (253 nucleotides) under uncultured bacterium. RNAcentral describes it as "partial 16S ribosomal RNA". It matches the Rfam family "Bacterial small subunit ribosomal RNA", at positions 524 to 776 of the family's 1533-position model. The record is from RNAcentral.
UACGUAGGGGGCAAGCGUUGUCCGGAAUCAUUGGGCGUAAAGAGCGUGUAGGCGGUCCGGUAAGUCGGUUGUGAAAGUCCAGGGCUCAACCCUGGGAUGCCGACCGAUACUGUCGGACUAGAGUUCGGAAGAGGCGAGUGGAAUUCCCGGUGUAGCGGUGGAAUGCGCAGAUAUCUGGAGGAACACCGGAGGCGAAGGCGGAUCACUGGACCGCCACUGACGCUGAGGCGCGAAAGCUAGGGGAGCAAACAGG